RNAcentral lists this ribosomal RNA (433 nucleotides) under uncultured bacterium. RNAcentral's name for it is "partial 16S ribosomal RNA". It matches the Rfam family "Bacterial small subunit ribosomal RNA", at positions 29 to 507 of the family's 1533-position model. The record is from RNAcentral.
AACGAACGCUGGCGGUAUGCCUAACACAUGCAAGUCGAACGAGACCUUCGGGUCUAGUGGCGCACGGGUGCGUAACGCGUGGGAACCUGCCCUUAGGUUCGGAAUAACUCCCCGAAAGGGGUGCUAAUACCGGAUAAUGUCUUCGGACCAAAGAUUUAUCGCCUUUGGAUGGGCCCGCGUUGGAUUAGCUAGUUGGUAGGGUAAAAGCCUACCAAGGCGACGAUCCAUAGCUGGUCUGAGAGGAUGAUCCGCCACACUGGGACUGAGACACGGCCCAGACUCCUACGGGAGGCAGCAGUGGGGAAUAUUGGACAAUGGGCGAAAGCCUGAUCCAGCAAUGCCGCGUGAGUGAUGAAGGCCUUAGAGUUGUAAAGCUCUUUUACCCGGGAUGAUAAUGACAGUACCGGGAGAAUAAGCUCCGGCUAACUCCGUG